AGAAUGAGAGCUUCGGCAGGAUUUUUAUCUAUCUUAGUGGCGGACGGGUGAGUAACGUGUGGGCAACCUGCCCUGUACUGGGGAAUAAUCAUUGGAAACGAUGACUAAUACCGCAUGUGGUCCUCGGAAGGCAUCUUCUGAGGAAGAAAGGAUUUAUUCGGUACAGGAUGGGCCCGCAUCUGAUUAGCUAGUUGGUGAGAUAACAGCCCACCAAGGCGACGAUCAGUAGCCGACCUGAGAGGGUGAUCGGCCACAUUGGGACUGAGACACGGCCCAAACUCCUACGGGAGGCAGCAGUGGGGAAUAUUGCACAAUGGGCGAAAGCCUGAUGCAGCAACGCCGCGUGAAGGAUGAAGGGUUUCGGCUCGUAAACUUCUAUCAAUAGGGAAGAAACAAAUGACGGUACCUAAAUAAGAAGCCCCGGCUAACUACGUGCCAGCAGCCGCGGUAAUACGUAGGGGGCAAGCGUUAUCCGGAAUUACUGGGUGUAAAGGGA
Molecule: ribosomal RNA, 496 nt
Filed under: uncultured bacterium
Lineage: Bacteria
Description: bacterial SSU rRNA
Rfam family: Bacterial small subunit ribosomal RNA
Source: RNAcentral